RNAcentral lists this long non-coding RNA (214 nucleotides) under Lathyrus oleraceus (garden pea). Its description in RNAcentral is "Pisum sativum (pea) long non-coding RNA (PSAT_LNC000308)". Lineage: Eukaryota; Viridiplantae; Streptophyta; Magnoliopsida; Fabales; Fabaceae. The record is from RNAcentral.
CCCUUACCUGAAUUCCUUGCAAAAAUCUGAAGCAAACCUUCACUCUCUUCCUCUGGAUCACCUUUAGCCUCUUGCCCUAACCUUCCUCCUCUUUUCUCCAAGUUUCUACGUAAGAUGAAUUCUAACCAUUUUUCCCAAUUCUUUUUUUUUCUUCUAGUAAACCUCUUUCUCCCAUUAGGUUUUUCCUAUAUUACCCUCAACUUAACCUUGUAAU